UAUGGAUCUAAUAGCAAUAAAGAAAUAAUUAUUGAGAAAGAAGGAAACCUGGAUGAGCCAAAGAGCAUCGGUAGUGACAACGAUGCCCCACAUAAUAGUGGCUUGAACGUCGGUGAGCUGUAGACGUAGCCCAAGCUUAAGGAACUUCAACAAGGCCCUUUCUCCGGCUAUUCCUGAAAUCCCCACAUCUGAUUUGAAAAUGAAACCCUAGCCUCAAUUCCUUUGUCUUCCCUUCCCAAUUCCUUCCUCUUCACUUUAAUCCCCAAUUCCGAUUUGAAAAUGAAACCCUAAACCAAAUUCCUUCGUCUUCCCUUCCCGAUUUCUUCCUCUUCACUGCUGCAUUUGAAGUUAACACCAGAGACUCACAAAUGCAAAUAUCCCAAUUUUUAGGG
Molecule: long non-coding RNA, 392 nt
Filed under: Gossypium barbadense (sea-island cotton)
Lineage: Eukaryota; Viridiplantae; Streptophyta; Magnoliopsida; Malvales; Malvaceae
Description: long non-coding RNA (GBAR_LNC009645)
Source: RNAcentral